UUUAUAAUCUGGCACCUUCGGUGUCCGAGUUGUAAUCUCUAGAAGUGUUUUCCGCGUUGGACCGCACACAAGUCUGUUGGAAUACAGCGGCAUAGUGGUGAGACCCCCGUAUAUGGUGCGGACGCCCAACGCUUUGUGAUACACUUUCGAAGAGUCGAGUUGUUUGGGAAUGCAGCUCAAAUUGGGUGGUAAAUUCCAUCUAAAGCUAAAUAUUGGCGAGAGACCGAUAGCGAACAAGUACCGUGAGGGAAAGAUGAAAAGCACUUUGGAAAGAGAGUUAACAGUACGUGAAAUUGUUGGAAGGGAAACGCUUGAAGUCAGACUUGCUUGCCGAGCAAUCGGUUUGCAGGCCAGCAUCAGUUUUCCGGGGUGGAUAAUGGUAGAGAGAAGGUAGCAGUUUCGGCUGUGUUAUAGCUCUCUGCUGGAUACACCUUGGGGGACUGAGGAACGCAGUGUGCCUUACGGCGGAUUUCUCGAGAUCUUCACACUUAGGAUGCUGGUGGAAUGGCUUUAAACGAC
Molecule: ribosomal RNA, 519 nt
Filed under: Rhodotorula taiwanensis
Lineage: Eukaryota; Fungi; Basidiomycota; Microbotryomycetes; Sporidiobolales; Sporidiobolaceae
Description: LSU rRNA
Rfam family: Eukaryotic large subunit ribosomal RNA
Source: RNAcentral